ACCUCCCCCACCCCCGCCCCCGGCGCCCCACCUCCACCUUCUCCCGUCAUCCCCAUCUUCUUCCAUCGUGGCCGCCCAGCGAGCCACCGUAUUGUCCCACCCUUCCCAGCGACGCCUUUCUCCGUGCCCACGCCGAUGAGCCCCACGGCAUCGCGAAUCCGUCGGUACACGCCUCUACCGACCACCUCCGUGGCCGCCUGAUGCCUGGGUCCAACGUGCCCCACCUACACCACCCCGGAACGGAUCUGGGGAUGUCCUCCUUCCAUCGACGCCACCAGCGGCGACUACCACCACUCUAGGCACGGAUCCCGAGCAGCGGCUCCUCCCUACGACAUGGCACGAGAUGCAGUCUAUUACCUCACGGCAUGAGUUCCACAACCUCGGUCAGUGAAGUCUGCCCUGCGUCUGCCCUGCAAUUGUCAAUGUCGUCGGCGAAGAGCCGCCAUCCUAACUCACCCUCAUGUGUGUUGCUGCUCUCCGCUAUUGGUGAAGUGUUUUUGUUGAUUUUUCAUAGUUGGUCGUCGGUGCAGUUCGCCGAUGAAAGGAGCAGCUUGCUUGCUCGUGCGUGCGGCUCGACUGUUUGCUGGAUGUUGUGUGCCUAUGAUGAAAUUUGUUAUGUGGCUGGCAAGAGGACCACAUCGAGUUGGUCGGCAACACAUAUACUUCUAGUUAAGUCGACAACGGGUUUCAGGAGCUGAUUCGAAGAUGAUGUCGAGCCACCAAACCAGCCUCCCACAUGCCCAUGUGUGUUUUGCAAUUAGUGGAUGGCUGUUUGUGUUUUGUAGGUGCUAUCUCUGCUGGAAUGCAAUGCAGUGCAUCAAAAGCAUGAAACAUUUUUGUUGUUUAUUUUUCAGAGUUGACUGGGUACCUCUGUGGAGAGCACGCCAGAUGGGAAGCUCGAAGUUCGUCAGCUGGAGUGCAUUUGCUUAGUUGGAGCUGUGGUUUUCUUGCUUUGCGCAACUUAGUAGGUCCCGCCGGAGAGGUUCGUUGUGCCGUCGGUUGCAGUUAGCUGUUGCGCGUGAUGGAGUCCAUUGACCGCACAUUUCUUGUUUCAAAAGAUUUGUUUGAUGCAGUGCGGUUCAUCAUUGGGUGUUAUUUGACUUUUAGUUUUUCACACACGAUCGAAAAUAAAUUGUGCUAUGUUUUGUUUCUCCCAAAGGGCCCCCGAUUCUGUUCGAGGGUUAAUUUGCAAAUUCCUAGGGAUAGUUAUUCACUUCAUAGGCUGGUGGAGGAGUGCAAAUUUUGUAUGUGUGUGACUGUGCAAAAUAAUCACAUAGAUAUGUAUGCUUUGAAG
RNAcentral lists this long non-coding RNA (1294 nucleotides) under Hordeum vulgare. RNAcentral's name for it is "long non-coding RNA (HVUL_LNC008862)". Lineage: Eukaryota; Viridiplantae; Streptophyta; Magnoliopsida; Poales; Poaceae. The record is from RNAcentral.